This 1365-nucleotide long non-coding RNA is filed under the name Gadus morhua (Atlantic cod). RNAcentral describes it as "lncRNA (ENSGMOG00000035454.1)". The record is from RNAcentral. Lineage: Eukaryota; Metazoa; Chordata; Actinopteri; Gadiformes; Gadidae.
AUGAGGCGGCUGCAGAGAUGGUUUUCUCGCCUGUGCAUCGACCCGGUGCGCCAACGGCGGCGCAAAAUGACCAUUCCCCUAUCAGUGGGCCCCGAUUUGACCCACUGGGGCGAUCCCCGAACUCUCGCGAGAGGGGUGCCCUUGGGCAGAGCAACGUCACACAUCUCGGUGUUUACGGAUGCUUCUCUGUCGGGCUGGGGAGGAACUUGCGAGUUUCACGUGGUGGGCGGCGUUUGGCCCCCCCCCCGUGACCAUGCAAAUAAACGCAUUGGAGCUCCUCACUGUGUUGAAAGUGGUCCAACACUUUGCCCUAUUGUUGACGAAUCAACACGUAAUGAUUCGCACGGACCUCAAGGCGACAGCAGCAUACAUAAAUCGCCAAGGGGGAGUGCGCUCGGCACAGCUGCUGAGCAUAGCAAGACAGCUGUUAUGCUGGGCGCACACGCACUUGCUCUCCAUCAGAGCAGCGUACAUCCCCGGUGUCCUGAACAGAGGGGCCGACAUGAUGUUGAGGGGGGGUCCUCAAACAGGAGACUGGACUCUGCACCACGAUCUGAUCAACCAGAUAUGGAGCGAGUUUGGGAAGGCGGAGGUCGACUUAUUCGCCACGCGGGAGAACACGCAGUGCGAGCUGUGGUUCCCCCUCAGCGCGAAGGACAAUCCCCCACUCGGGGUGGAUGCGUUCGCUCACAGACCGUGGCCGAACACACUCCUGUUCGCUCUCCCACCCGUCCCCCUGAUUCCCCAAGUCUUGGACCGAGUCCAAGAGGAGCGGCUGUGUAUGAUUCUCAUAGCACCGCAACGCACAAGUGCGCCGUGGUUUCCCUGCCUCCAACGUCUGCUCUCGGGGCCGCUGAAGGAACUCCCUUGGCGGCGGGACGCUCUCUCACAGGCAGGGGGAGCAAUCAUAGGUUACCCAGAGAUCGGCCAGCGCUUGUGGGCCUGGCCGCUCAACGCGAGCGCCUAGAGGGUCUCGGCCUCUCCCAGGAGGUCGUACGGACCAUCCAGGGUGCCAGAGCUGACUCCACCAGAGCGUGUUACUCGGCUAAAUGGGCGGCUUUCCAGAAAUGGUGCACGGAGAGGGAUUGUGAGCCCAUCUCCUGCCCUUUGCCGCGUUUGCUCUCUUUCCUCCAGAUGCUGAUGGAAAGAGGGCUGGCCUUUAGCGCGGUUAAGACGUACGAGGCUGCAGUUUCAUCAUGCCACGAAGGCUUCGGGGAUAAAACUGUUUUUAGUCACCCCUUGAUGAAGCGCUUCCUAAAAGGUGUGAGGAGAGAGAGACCCGUGACGCGCUCUCUCACUCCACAAUGGGAUUUAACACUGGUGCUGCGCGCACUGGUUAAAGCCCCAUUUGAGCCAUGCACUUGA